AUCCCAGAUAAGCUUGAGGAUUAUUAAUGAUCCUCAAGUGCUGCUUAUGCUGAUUCAUGGGAGGCCAAAAGUAAAAUGUUGCAAGUUUCGCUGAUAAAUGCCUUUCUCUGAUUAUUACUAUAUCAAAGGCCUUUACUAGUAACUUUGCAAUACACUC
Small nucleolar RNA from Gastrolobium bilobum, 157 nucleotides. Lineage: Eukaryota; Viridiplantae; Streptophyta; Magnoliopsida; Fabales; Fabaceae. The record is from RefSeq and is a predicted model, not a curated record.